UGAGGUGGGAUCCCGGCCCCUCGGGGUCGGGCGCACCACCGGCCCGUCUCGCCCGCACCGUCGGGGAGGUGGAGCGUGANCNCGUGCGAUAGGACCCGAAAGAUGGUGAACUAUGCCUGGGCAGGGC
Molecule: ribosomal RNA, 127 nt
Filed under: Bovichtus variegatus (thornfish)
Lineage: Eukaryota; Metazoa; Chordata; Actinopteri; Perciformes; Bovichtidae
Description: partial 28S ribosomal RNA
Source: RNAcentral